This 86-nucleotide transfer RNA is filed under the name Candidatus Peribacteria bacterium. RNAcentral's name for it is "tRNA-Ser". It matches the Rfam family "tRNA". Rfam says of the family: Transfer RNA (tRNA) molecules are approximately 80 nucleotides in length. Their secondary structure includes four short double-helical elements and three loops (D, anti-codon, and T loops). Further hydrogen bonds mediate the characteristic L-shaped molecular structure. tRNAs have two regions of fundamental functional importance: the anti-codon, which is responsible for specific mRNA codon recognition, and the 3' end, to which the tRNAs corresponding amino acid is attached (by aminoacyl-tRNA synthetases). tRNAs cope with the degeneracy of the genetic code in two manners: having more than one tRNA (with a specific anti-codon) for a particular amino acid; and 'wobble' base-pairing, i.e. permitting non-standard base-pairing at the 3rd anti-codon position. The record is from RNAcentral. Lineage: Bacteria; Candidatus Peregrinibacteriota; Candidatus Peribacteria.
GGAAGAUUGGCCGAGUGGUCGAAGGCGCACGUUUGGAGUACGUGUAUGCACCCUGUGUAUCUAGGGUUCGAAUCCCUAAUCUUCCG